RNAcentral lists this long non-coding RNA (6509 nucleotides) under Nicotiana tabacum (common tobacco). RNAcentral describes it as "long non-coding RNA (NTAB_LNC001284)". Lineage: Eukaryota; Viridiplantae; Streptophyta; Magnoliopsida; Solanales; Solanaceae. The record is from RNAcentral.
UUUUCUUUCCAUAGGUCAAACAUCAAGACCUAUGGAUAUUAGGGUUUGACCAACAGUCCAAAGGUUUCAACGGUCGACCCUCAUACUCAGGUAAUUUCUACGACGUUUUUCCCUCUAUUCUUCUGAUUCUCACCCGUGUUUGUUAUCAUCAUCCGCCCCUUUGUCACUUUCCACUCACAAUUUUGAAUCAACUGGAACCCUAAGGCAUUGAAGGCCACUAUAAAUACUACUUUAAAUGCACUCACCUAACACACGAAGAAACACAAAUAAAUAUGAAUACACUUUAGGAAAUUCAAGUUUGAGUCUUUGUUGUCUAAAGCUUGAACCUCGGUAGUGUUCUUUCUUCUGAUCUCUCUUCUUUUUUGUGUGAAUUCAACCCUUGAGAGUUGACUGUUGUUGAUUUUGGUCUCUAAAUGGCUAUCAAUAUGAUCCUACUUGGUUUUCUGCCCUGCAAAAGGUUAGUGCACAUUGACCUCCUUUUAUCUCACUUUAAUCAUGUAGUCCUAUAUUCGUAAUGUUUUUCUUGUCAAUCAUCCUUUGUUUGUGGUAUAUAUUAUACUUGUUAUGUCCUGUCUUUGUGUUCAAUCCUUAUGGUUAAUUCAUAAAAUUUCAGAUUGAGUUAUGUUGUUCUUGGUACUGUUAUCAACUUGUGUUGUUAAUUAAAGUUAUCUAUCAUGACUUAGCUAUUUGAAAGUGUUUUGAAUUGUUAUUCUCUCAUGACUAAAUCCAGUUAAUUUUCCUUACUAUUAAAUAGAUCAAAUAUUAUAUUAAUGAUAUUAUGUAAACCAAAACAAAUAAUUGCAUGAGCACUGUCAUGUCUGCUAAGCUAGUUGAAUCAUGUCCUCGAACCUUUCUUUGUAUCCAUGUAUCUCCAGAUUACUUGAACCUCCUACUUAUGAUGCUAUGUUGAUGUUACAAAUAUAUCCCAUGUACUCCAUGUUAUGUACUUAACAUGUCUGCCCUAGUAAUCUUGGUUGAUAAGUGUGUGAGGGAUGACCUACCUGUUUUAUACAUUUAUUGAUCCAUGUAUAGCUUUUACUUUUAGAUCCUUUAAAGCUUCAUGAUUAAUUAAAUCCUAUAUUAACUAUGAUGUAUGCGAUCUGUGGUCUAGUAAUUGGUUAUGCAGAUAAAAUGUAACGAUCUGAUCGAUCGUUUUAUGUAAUUACGCUCCGUUUUCCCUUUUUACACUUCACACAUAUAUGUUAAUAAUUUUAUAACUUGCAGGGUUAGUUAGUUCCAUUCCGGGAAGCUUUCGGGUUGAUUUGGACCUUUUAUUCUUGACUUAGAAAUUUAAAAAUGAUGAUCAAACUUUAACUUUUGUAAAAAUGACCCCGAAAUUGUAUUUUUAUGAUUCCGAUAGCUUCGUAUUGUGAUUUCGAACUUGGGCAUAUGCCCAGAAUUUGAUUUUGGAAGUCCGUAAAUUGAUUUAUGUGGAUUUGCCAAAAUUUGACAAUUUGAAGUUGAAAGGUUUGACCGUAUAUAGACUUUUAGCUAUUGAGCUCGAAAUUUGAUUUUGUGACAUGGAAUAAGUCCGUUAUGGUAUUUAGAACUUGUCUGCAAAAUUUGGUGUAGUUUGGAGUUGAUUUGAUAGGAUUCAGAUGUUUAGUUAUAAUUCUAGAAGUUCUUGAAAAUUUCUUUGCAAUUCAUGUGUUUUAGAGUUCAAUUCAUAGUUUUAGAUGUUAUUUUUUUGUUUUGAUCAUGCGAGCGAGUUCGUAUGAUGUUUUUAGAUUUUUGUGGAUGUUUGGUUUGGAAUCCCCAGGGUGCGGAUGAGUUUCGGACAUGUUCCGGAGUGGUUUGGACUGAAAUUGCAGAAAUCUGGUGUUUAGCGCUCUUUGCGAGCUUAGUGGGGGGUGGGGUGGGGGUGGGGGACUUAGGUAUCGCAACUGCGAUGCCAGGCUCGCAAAUGCGAAAAAGCUUCCCGGAGAGGGUAGUUCGCAUUUGCGAUAAUACAAUCGCAUUUACAAUGGAGACAAGCUUCACAAUUGCGACCUCCUCAUAGGGCUGACAGUGGCCGGUAGGAGAUGAUCAAAAGGGCUGGAAGUUGGGAUUUCACCUCUCAUUCUCACGUUUUUGAACCCUAGACUCGGUAGGAGACGAUUUGAAGAGGAGAUUUUCACCUACAAACCUUGGGUAAGUAAGUCUAAUCUAUUUCUAAUCAUAUUCCAUCAUUAUAUUUUAGAUUUUAACAUCAAAAUCAUGUGAAUCAAAGUGAAAAAUUGUGAAACCUUGUCAAGUUUUUGAAAAAUAAGAAGUUGAGUUUUGAGAGUCGAUUUGGACUCAGAUUUUGAAAUUAAUCACAUAUAUGAGCUCGUGAGGUCAUGGAUAGUCGGAAUCUACCAUUGAACCCGGGUUUUGACCAGCAAGCCCCGAGUUGACUUUUGUUGACUUUUUGGGAAAAGUGUAAAGAUCAAAGUUUUAUUUAUUGUAAUUAUUUUCUCUUGUAUUGGUUGAUGAUAUUGAGUUAAUUUUGGGUUAGAGUUGAGCCGUGUGGAGACGAGUUUUAAGGGAAAAGCAAUUUCUGAGGGUUGAGUUGCCCAAGUCGAGGUAAAUGUCUUGCCUAACUUCGUGUGGGGGAACUACCCCUUAGGAUUUGGUAUUGAUUAUGUCUUUUGUGCUAUGUGAAAACUGUGUUACGCAAGAUGACGAGUGGGUACACGGUUGUACGUGGUAUUUGACCCGUUUAUGCUACUUACAAUAAUUUCAUGCUUUAAUUGAAAUGUCAUAUCAUGUUCUAAAUUCUCAUAGUCAAUCUAUCCUUAUUUAUGUUGGUCUAUCCUUAGAUGCCUUAAUUGACUUGUUUAGCACUUGUUUUAUAUCCUACUUGAUAAAUUUCUCUCAUGCUCUAGUUGAACUUGUUGCCUCUUUUAUUAUUACAUGCUACAUCUUUAUUGCUAAAUAUCAUUAUUUGAAGUAAUUGUUCGUGUUAUCUCCUUCCUUAUUGAUUAUCAAUACUUGAAGCUAAUGUUAAUGUUAUCCCUUUCCUUGUUGAUUUCCAAUAAUUGAAGUCAUUGUUAUACGUUAUCUCUUCCAUUGUGAGUUAUCCUUAUUAUUAUCGUGGUUAUACAUUAUUUCUCAUUGUCGAGUUAUUGGUGCUGAAGUUGUGAAAGUCGUUAUCACGUUGCAGCAAAAUUGUUAUUGUUGAAACACCUUCUUUGUUGAGCAUUUUACAUUCAUUGUUGUUGUUGAUAUUAUUGUAUACAUUGUGGUGGAGUCGUGGGCUAUUAUUGUGGAAACAUUAAUAUUGUUAAUUUUUGGCAAGUUAUGAUAUAUGGGCACUUGUGGUGCGAGUUAUUAUUGUGAUAUGAUAUUGACGUGCAUGCAACAGUAUAAGGCUUGGGGUUAAUGUGCAUGUGGUAGUAUAAGGCGGUACUUAUGUGCGUGUUGCUUGUAGGGGAACUACGUGAAGCCACGCGACGUCAUAAGGUGGGAUAAAGUACGUGUAGCUAUCACGAAAAAAUUAUUUUCAAAACUUAUUACAAAUGUAAGGCUCACGCGGCAGUAUAAAGAAAGACUGUGAUUGAGAUUGUGAACUGUAAAUACGAGGCGGUACCUUGGUUAUGACUCUUGAUUUAUACGUGGCGGUACCUCGGUGGUGAUUCUUAUAGUACACGAGGUGGUACCUCAUUGUGAUAUUUUUGUUUAUCUUAUGUUGCAAAGGUCUUUCAGUUGUUUUGUUUUUCCUUGUCCUAGCAGUUAUUGUCCGUAUAUGAGCAUUUUGGUUCUCUUCAGUUGUUUCUUUAUGUUAAUUCCAUGUUAAAAUUUUCGGUAUUAGUUUAGGUUAUUAUCUUGUUUCGUAUCGGUUAUUUCUCUUUUUUCUAUUAUGAUUCGGUCUUUUGGUUUUAUUCUGCUUAUUUAUAUCCUAGUAGGUGUCUUGACCUGGUCUCGUCACUACUCUACUGAGGUUAGGCUUGAUACUUACUGAGUACCAUUGUGGUAUACUCAUACUACGCUUCUACACAAUAUUUGCACAGAUCCAGGUACGUCUGCCCGUACCGAACACUAGAGUUGAUUUGAGUUGUUGCUUGGAAACUUCAAGGUAUACCCGCUCCACGUCCGUAGGCCUCAGAGUCACCUUCCCUAUUUUACUUCCUGUUGUAUUUCUUUUAGACAGUGAUGUAUUAUAUAUUCUAGUUUAUUCUAUAGAGCUUAUGACUCAGUUUCACCGGUUUUAGGGAGUGUAUUGAUGAUAUUUUGCUUUGUUUCAGAAGGUUAUAUCAGUUAUUCAGCUUUAUUUUAGUAUUUUGAUAAUUGUUUCUGCUAAGUUAUUAUUAUCUGUUAGGCUUACCUAGUCAUAGAGACUAGGUUCCAUCAUGACAUCCUACAGAGAGAAAUUGGGGCCGUGACAUAAAAAAUGUAAUAAAAAUCAGAACUUUAAGAUCUUCUCGAGAACACUGCUGAUACUUGUCAACACCAAGCAAUUUUGAUACUUGUAAUGUCAUGUUGUUUGGAUUCAGUUCCUAUCCUCAUGAUGACUUGUUCGAACUCUAACUAAUAGCUUGCUUAUGUUAAUGUAAUAGAAUAAUCUCUAUGUGUUCUCUGCAAUAACUUGAAAAUAUGCAAAUAAACCUUGCUAAUGUGUUAGGGAACCUGCACAUAUGAUUGAGUAUAACUUGACUAGGAGAACUCUCUAUAGUAAAUGUUGACACUUGCCUAUUUGAGCUUUGUGAAACUCCUGCUGAUAUAUCAAUCCUCUCCAUGUCUGAGUGCACAUCUGUCAUGUUAAUUGUGUUGUGCUCAUAGACCAUGUAUGACUUUUUGUUGAGGAAUUUUACACUUAUACAUAUGUGUUAACUCUCUACCUACCAUGAUUCUGACCCUGCUAUGAUGUUACAUUGGUCUGUAUUUGUAAAUAUCUCUCACUGAGGAAACUUGUUCCUAAUGCUUAUAAUGACUAAUGCUUGUGACUUUAACUGUUGGGCUUAACCAUGACCUCACAGUAUCUUAAUCUCUACUUAACCAUGACCUCACACUAUCUUGAUCUCUAUGUGUCUGUCAUGAUAACUGGUAUAUAAAUCAUAAACCGAGUUCUAUUAAUAUGCUAUGCUAGUAAACUUGCCUACAUGUCCAAAUGUUGGUUCAUUGUGACCUAUAUGCCUUUUCAAGUUAAAGUAAAAUGCCAUUAUCUACUAUCUUAUACCUGCCAGUGUCAUUGUCUGAAGUCUGUUUAAAUUUGAUAGCUAAAACGAUUGAAGAUCUGUUUGUUGAUAUAAUUAGUCCACGUGGAUCAAGCAAGGCUAAGAUUAACUUUUUCCUAGUUAAUUUUCUAUUGUCCUGAGUGGUCAACAACUCUUUUUGGAAUUCUAAGUGAGCAUUAUUAGCCUAACUGUUAAAUAAUAGAAUCCUAAUGAAAUGUAUGCCUGUUGUUAACUAUACUGAGGCUUUAUAAAUACCUUUGAACAUACCUUAUGAUCUGAACUCAUGUAGAAUAAAUUUGAAGCAUCAAACCUACAGUGAAGACAAUAGAACAUGCACCUAUGCUCAUUUCUGUGUGAUACUUAUCUGUAACACUUCUGAGUUUAAGGAUCUAUGAGUAGUGAAACAUGUCUAUUGCUUGUACCUUGAUUUUUUGUUUGACCAUGUCUCCACAGUGACCUCAUGCCUACCUGUAUAUCUUACACUCUAAUAUGAAUCCUCUUAAGUCAAUAUUGUGCCUUAACUACAUCUCUGCUUAGAUGAUGAACUACAAUAUUCUAUUUAUUCACAGUUGUUGGGUUUUGUGUGUUUGAAAUUUUAAAACGUUUGAAAUGACUCUUGUACCUUACUGUUUUUAUCUUAGUAGUAUAAAGUUACUCUGUUGAUUCUUGUAUUUGUGUUUAAACCUUUGAGGAAGAUUAAAAGUAGGUGGCUAAGGGUAUUUGGGUGUGAAAACUUGUUGUGGUUAUGAUACCUCUCCAUGACACAAGCACUGCUCGGGAUCCGCGAGACCCUCAUGAACUCUGAAGUGUCAAGGGCUCACAAAGGGGAAUCGUAUCCAUAAAUGGGGAUUUGUACCAAACCUCUAGUCACUAACUCCUAUUACUCCUCAUAAGAUUAGCAUAAAUGAAAUUUGUCUCACCAUAUUUUUUAGCUCUUUGUUAUUAUUUUGUCAUAAAUUUCUAUCUUAUUUCAUUUUACAUUUGAUAUACACUAAUGAUUUUUUUUAUUUUUUGUAUGCACGCUUCGAAUUAGACCCACGGUGUUCCAUUGGGAACUACGGCCUAAAUCCAAAUCCAUCUUGCUCCUGUUCCACACGUUCGGGUCUGCCGCCUUGAAUUAAAUUCUCCAGGGCUUGGACAGGUCUACCGGCCCAAUCUAUCAAGAGUCCUACCUCUCUUCCUUAUUUAUUUCAAACUCUGUUCGUUGUUGUGUAUAUUUUAAUAACCUACUUUAUUGAAUAAUUUUGAUACUUUGAUUGUAUAGGAAUAUAGGCAAACCAAAGUUUAUAGACAAGAAUCAAAUCAAAACUCUGCACUUUAAACCCCUUUAAUAUUUGGCCACUUAUUAAUUUCAGAUUUAUUUUUUCUUAACAA